This is a long non-coding RNA of Cynoglossus semilaevis (tongue sole), 551 nucleotides long. RefSeq lists it as uncharacterized. The record is from RefSeq and is a predicted model, not a curated record. The transcript has 3 exons. Lineage: Eukaryota; Metazoa; Chordata; Actinopteri; Pleuronectiformes; Cynoglossidae.
GAUGUUAGUUUGUGCCUCCGGACUUUCCGUAGUUGGUUCGGAGGACAGGAAGUUAAUUACACCGCCGUUGUUGAUCUCUGAUUUAUGGCCUGAAAACGUUUACUUGUCGGUAAUGUUUUAUGUCCAGAUUCUGCAUCGUUACAUGUAGAUAAUGUUUUAUUUAUUAUUAAAUAAUAGAACCAGAAAAGACGUUAGUCGCUAAUCCGUACAUGCUAAAACGCUAGCAUCUCUAUGUUAUUUCGCAUAUAGGUUAGCAUUGAGCUCGCGGACUUUUUUUGUGUGGUUUAAACAUGCUGUUUUUAUGUUAUAUGUCAAUAUGUUUUUAUUUUUAUUUUAUUGUUUAUUGAUGUUCUUUAUUGGGGAAACGACGUUCGCUAGAUGCAGACAGGAGGCGCAGAAUACAAGGCUCUUGGCUGAGGUCUGGAUGUGAGACGUUGUUUCCUGCUGCUCUCAGGUGCCUUCAGGAGGUGGGCGGAGCCUGGUGUGAUUGGGGGAUGGGAAUCACCUGAGCCCUCAUGGUCCCCAGCCUUUAAAACCCGGUCCUUAUCAAG